This 918-nucleotide ribosomal RNA is filed under the name uncultured Bacillota bacterium. RNAcentral's name for it is "bacterial SSU rRNA". It matches the Rfam family "Bacterial small subunit ribosomal RNA", at positions 1 to 917 of the family's 1533-position model. The record is from RNAcentral. Lineage: Bacteria; Bacillati; Bacillota.
UGGAUCCAGACUUUGAUUAUGGCUCAGGACGAACGCUGGCGGCGUGCUUAACACAUGCAAGUCGAACGGAGCACCCUUGAUUGAGGUUUCGGCCAAAUGAUAGGAAUGCUUAGUGGCGGACUGGUGAGUAACGCGUGAGGAACCUGCCUUUCAGAGGGGGACAACAGUUGGAAACGACUGCUAAUACCGCAUGACGCAUUUUGAUCGCAUGGUCGAAAUGCCAAAGAUUUAUCGCUGAAAGAUGGCCUCGCGUCUGAUUAGAUAGUUGGCGGGGUAACGGCCCACCAAGUCGACGAUCAGUAGCCGGACUGAGAGGUUGACCGGCCACAUUGGGACUGAGAUACGGCCCAGACUCCUACGGGAGGCAGCAGUGGGGAAUAUUGGGCAAUGGGCGCAAGCCUGACCCAGCAACGCCGCGUGAAGGAAGAAGGCUUUCGGGUUGUAAACUUCUUUUAAGUGGGAAGAGUAGAAGACGGUACCACUUGAAUAAGCCACGGCUAACUACGUGCCAGCAGCCGCGGUAAUACGUAGGUGGCAAGCGUUGUCCGGAUUUACUGGGUGUAAAGGGCGUGCAGCCGGGCAUGCAAGUCAGAUGUGAAAUCUCAGGGCUUAACCCUGAAACUGCAUUUGAAACUGUAUGUCUUGAGUGCCGGAGAGGUAAUCGGAAUUCCUUGUGUAGCGGUGAAAUGCGUAGAUAUAAGGAAGAACACCAGUGGCGAAGGCGGAUUACUGGACGGUAACUGACGGUGAGGCGCGAAAGCGUGGGGAGCGAACAGGAUUAGAUACCCUGGUAGUCCACGCUGUAAACGAUGGAUACUAGGUGUGCGGGGACUGGCCCCCUGCGUGCCGCAGUUAACACAAUAAGUAUCCCACCUGGGGAGUACGAUCGCAAGGUUGCAACUCAAAUGAAUUGACGGA